This 550-nucleotide ribosomal RNA is filed under the name Fusarium sp. BAB-4705. RNAcentral's name for it is "eukaryotic LSU rRNA". The stretch from base 181 to 334 matches the Rfam family "5.8S ribosomal RNA". The record is from RNAcentral. Lineage: Eukaryota; Fungi; Ascomycota; Sordariomycetes; Hypocreales; Nectriaceae.
UUCCGUAGGUGAACCUGCGGAGGGAUCAUUACCGAGUUUACAACUCCCAAACCCCUGUGAACAUACCUAUACGUUGCCUCGGCGGAUCAGCCCGCGCCCCGUAAAACGGGACGGCCCGCCCGAGGACCCCUAAACUCUGUUUUUAGUGGAACUUCUGAGUAAAACAAACAAAUAAAUCAAAACUUUCAACAACGGAUCUCUUGGUUCUGGCAUCGAUGAAGAACGCAGCAAAAUGCGAUAAGUAAUGUGAAUUGCAGAAUUCAGUGAAUCAUCGAAUCUUUGAACGCACAUUGCGCCCGCCAGUAUUCUGGCGGGCAUGCCUGUUCGAGCGUCAUUUCAACCCUCAAGCUCAGCUUGGUGUUGGGACUCGCGGUAACCCGCGUUCCCCAAAUCGAUUGGCGGUCACGUCGAGCUUCCAUAGCGUAGUAAUCAUACACCUCGUUACUGGUAAUCGUCGCGGCCACGCCGUUAAACCCCAACUUCUGAAUGUUGACCUCGGAUCAUGUCAGGAAUAGGCGCUUGAACUUAAGCAUAUCAAUAAGCGGAGGAA